This 1931-nucleotide long non-coding RNA is filed under the name Oryza sativa (Asian cultivated rice). Its description in RNAcentral is "long non-coding RNA (OSAT_LNC000576)". The record is from RNAcentral. Lineage: Eukaryota; Viridiplantae; Streptophyta; Magnoliopsida; Poales; Poaceae.
CCGAAAGUAAUGUAUUGAUAUGUGGAAAUAGAUUACAAAGUCUACGGGUGUACAUAUUUAUACCCUUAGGUUGAUAUUAGUCCUAAUCGGACAAGAUACAAGUUUCCUAAAGAUAAAAGAAAAGAUAUAAGUCCUGAUCGGUUGAUUGACUUCUUUCCUUAACUGAAUCCUCUAAACAACCGUAUCAAAUUUUGGUGUUAACAGCUUGACGAUGACUCAACAAAGAACGACAAGCGAUGCUCACGGGCAAAGCACCAUGAUGACGACGAGAACAGAGGCCUACCUGGCAGAUCAGGAUCGAUCCCACUCAGGGUGAAGCGCGAUGAUCAUGCAGACUAUGAAUGAAAAAAAAAACAGGUGGCUGGGCCGUAUUAGAUCAACAAAUGCAGAAGAUGAUGAAAUUUGAAGGACAUGAAAAGGUCACAGAUUAAUCAAAAUGGGUACAAUUCAGUUGUUUUUCUUAGAAUAAAUAGAAGUAGCCAGCUAAGAGCUAAACUACAAAUUGAAUGCAAGUGUUUAAGCUUAGCACUAAUGCCACCAUGCGCUUCAGUCACCCAGCUCCAGUGUUCCCAUCUCUGAAAAAAAAUCGAACAGCAUUGGAUCAAUUCCAAAAAGAAUCAGGAAGACAAGCUUUAUCAUCUAGAAAAUGGAGCUUUAGGAAAUGACUAUACAUAAAGUUCAGAAAUCAACCCAGUACUGAAAAUUGGUCUUAAAAUCAAUCCAGUACUACCAGGCCAAGGGUAUAGGGUCCCAAGAAGGAGGAGGCUGGUCUUCUCCAACUCUAAUUGGUGGACAUGCAAUCUACAAAGCAGACACAAUUUACAUUAGUAAAAUUAAAAUAUUUCUAAAGUGCAAGGCCCUAUAUGUGCUAGUACCAAUAAAAAUUGAAAUAAUUUUCAAUUGAGAUCAAACCGAGAAUUUUCAAUUAUGUUCAUAUUGGACAUGGAUAGGUACAAUUAUGUAGAUCAAAAUGCUUGUGCAAAAAUCAAAUCUUGACUUCUGUUUUGUCCUAUACUAAUCAUAUUCAUAAAUGUAUAACCAGAUGAGAUAUACAAUAAGGAGCAAAAGACGUUGAAUCUGUCAGGAACUUACCAUGUUGUGCAUCUAUGGUAUGUACUCUAACCAUCAUACUAAUCUAAUUUGUUGGAUAAAGAUAAAAGAGGCCACGUUAACUGGUGACUGCUUAAAACUCGACAAACAGCAGUAACCAGGUACUGCACCUCACAAUUCUACCUUUAAUAAACAUUCUUCCAAACUUGGUUUGCUUGAAUCAUCUAAGAUAUGAAAUACAUAGCUAGCUUGCACGAUGACUUUCGAGGCAGCACAUGGUGUCUCAGUGAUACUGGAAUCAAUCAUCCUAAUCAGUAUUUCAGUGAAAGUCAGAAAGUUUUGAAAGCAAAGGUGAGCCACCAUAGUUGAUUUGCAUUAAUUUUUGCAUUUUGUCAGCAUAUGAUAUGUUCAAAUUGACAUUAAUUUCAUUUUAUUCCACAAAAUCAAGCAGUGCAGAGCAAGGAGCAACCUAAAUUGUGAUGCUGCUCAGUCCAUCCAAUAUGCAGAAAAUCAGGUUUAAUCAAGACACUGAUUAAUAACCUAAGAAAGGCUUAUUCCAACGAGAACCAUCAGUCCUCUAGAUCCGCUAGCUACAUCAAAAUUGCACACCAUCUUUAACCAAGAACCUUGGACCAAGAACCAAACCCUAGGAAGGAUAGGGAGAAGAGAGGGGAAGGAAGAGAGACUCACCGGUGAGAAAGUGGCCAGCGGAGGGGACGGUCGGCGGAGGGGAGAGCGCCGCCUCCGGGGAGAGUGCCGCGUCGCCGUCGCGCCGUCGACUCUCAAUCCGCACCCGCGCCACCGCCGCUGCUUUCCCCUAUGCGUUGAUAGUUUCCUCCUGUGCGCGAGGGUUUCUUCCACGCCUCUUGGGUCGAUGAUUU